UUUCCGUAGGUGAACCUGCGGAAGGAUCAUUACUGAGUUAGGGUCUUUAUGGCCCGACCUCCAACCCUUUGUUUAAUCUACCAUGUUGCUUUGGCAGGCCCGCUUAGAAAUGGGCCGCCGGAGACCUUUGAGUCUCUGGUCAGUGCCUGCCAGUAGCCUUUCUAAAUUCAUUUAUAACCGUGUCUGAAUAUACAAAGAAAAAUUAAAAUAAAGCUUUCAACAACGGAUCUCUUGGUUCUG
This 240-nucleotide unclassified non-coding RNA is filed under the name plant metagenome. Its description in RNAcentral is "partial contains small subunit ribosomal RNA, internal transcribed spacer 1, and 5.8S ribosomal RNA". The record is from RNAcentral.